This 225-nucleotide ribosomal RNA is filed under the name Apoica pallida. Its description in RNAcentral is "partial small subunit ribosomal RNA". RNAcentral also lists the same sequence under 3 other names. Lineage: Eukaryota; Metazoa; Arthropoda; Insecta; Hymenoptera; Vespidae. The record is from RNAcentral.
UUAAAUCAUUAAAUUUAAAAGAUUUGGCGGUAUUUUAUAGAAUUAGAGGAAUCUGUGUAUUAAUUGAUGAUCCACGAUAAGAAAUACUUAAAUAUUUAUGUAUUGCUGUUUUAAAAUUAUUAUUAAUUAAAUAUUUUAGAUAUUAUUUUAAUAUAAUUCAAGUCAAAAUAUAGUUUAAUUAAGAUAUGGGUUACAAUUAAAAUUUGAAAUUGGAUUUAAUAGUAA